CGGGAGCCCCUAAUACAUGCAAGUCGAACGAACUCUGGUAUUGAUUGGUGCUUGCAUCAUGAUUUACAUUUGAGUGAGUGGCGAACUGGUGAGUAACACGUGGGAAACCUGCCCAGAAGCGGGGGAUAACACCUGGAAACAGAUGCUAAUACCGCAUAACAACUUGGACCGCAUGGUCCGAGUUUGAAAGAUGGCUUCGGCUAUCACUUUUGGAUGGUCCCGCGGCGUAUUAGCUAGAUGGUGGGGUAACGGCUCACCAUGGCAAUGAUACGUAGCCGACCUGAGAGGGUAAUCGGCCACAUUGGGACUGAGACACGGCCCAAACUCCUACGGGAGGCAGCAGUAGGGAAUCUUCCACAAUGGACGAAAGUCUGAUGGAGCAACGCCGCGUGAGUGAAGAAGGGUUUCGGCUCGUAAAACUCUGUUGUUAAAGAAGAACAUAUCUGAGAGUAACUGUUCAGGUAUUGACGGUAUUUAACCAGAAAGCCACGGCUAACUACGUGCCAGCAGCCGCGGUAAUACGUAGGUGGCAAGCGUUGUCCGGAUUUAUUGGGCGUAAAGCGAGCGCAGGCGGUUUUUUAAGUCUGAUGUGAAAGCCUUCGGCUCAACCGAAGAAGUGCAUCGGAAACUGGGAAACUUGAGUGCAGAAGAGGACAGUGGAACUCCAUGUGUAGCGGUGAAAUGCGUAGAUAUAUGGAAGAACACCAGUGGCGAAGGCGGCUGUCUGGUCUGUAACUGACGCUGAGGCUCGAAAGUAUGGGUAGCAAACAGGAUUAGAUACCCUGGUAGUCCAUACCGUAAACGAUGAAUGCUAAGUGUUGGAGGGUUUCCGCCCUUCAGUGCUGCAGCUAACGCAUUAAGCAUUCCGCCUGGGGAGUACGGCCGCAAGGCUGAAACUCAAAGGAAUUGACGGGGGCCCGCACAAGCGGUGGAGCAUGUGGUUUAAUUCGAAGCUACGCGAAGAACCUUACCAGGUCUUGACAUACUAUGCAAAUCUAAGAGAUUAGACGUUCCCUUCGGGGACAUGGAUACAGGUGGUGCAUGGUUGUCGUCAGCUCGUGUCGUGAGAUGUUGGGUUAAGUCCCGCAACGAGCGCAACCCUUAUUAUCAGUUGCCAGCAUUAAGUUGGGCACUCUGGUGAGACUGCCGGUGACAAACCGGAGGAAGGUGGGGAUGACGUCAAAUCAUCAUGCCCCUUAUGACCUGGGCUACACACGUGCUACAAUGGAUGGUACAACGAGUUGCGAACUCGCGAGAGUAAGCUAAUCUCUUAAAGCCAUUCUCAGUUCGGAUUGUAGGCUGCAACUCGCCUACAUGAAGUCGGAAUCGCUAGUAAUCGCGGAUCAGCAUGCCGCGGUGAAUACGUUCCCGGGCCUUGUACACACCGCCCGUCACACCAUGAGAGUUUGUAACACCCAAAGUCGGUGGGGUAACCUUUUAGGAACCAGCCGCAUAAACGGGGA
RNAcentral lists this ribosomal RNA (1463 nucleotides) under Lactiplantibacillus plantarum. RNAcentral's name for it is "bacterial SSU rRNA". It matches the Rfam family "Bacterial small subunit ribosomal RNA". The record is from RNAcentral. Lineage: Bacteria; Bacillati; Bacillota; Bacilli; Lactobacillales; Lactobacillaceae.